GACGAACGCUGGCGGCGUGCCUAACACAUGCAAGUCGAACGAAGCUUGACGAACGAUUCUUCGGAUGAAUUCUGAUAUGACUGAGUGGCGGACGGGUGAGUAACGCGUGAGCAACCUGCCUACUAGAGGGGAAUAACAGUGAGAAAUCAUUGCUAAUACCGCAUAUGCCAUGAACAUCACAUGAUGAAAAUGGGAAAAGAGCAAUCUACUAGUAGAUGGGCUCGCGUCUGAUUAGAUAGUUGGUGAGGUAACGGCCCACCAAGCCGACGAUCAGUAGCCGACCUGAGAGGGUNACCGGCCACAUUGGGACUGAGACACGGCCCAAACUCCUACGGGAGGCAGCAGUGGGGAAUAUUGCACAAUGGGCGAAAGCCUGAUGCAGCGACGCCGCGUGAGUGAAGAAGUAUUUCGGUAUGUAAAGCUCUAUCAGCAGGGAAGAAAAUGACGGUACCUGACUAAGAAGCCCGG
This 468-nucleotide ribosomal RNA is filed under the name uncultured bacterium. RNAcentral's name for it is "bacterial SSU rRNA". It matches the Rfam family "Bacterial small subunit ribosomal RNA", at positions 28 to 495 of the family's 1533-position model. The record is from RNAcentral.